This 675-nucleotide non-coding RNA is filed under the name Aspergillus aculeatus ATCC 16872. RNAcentral describes it as "Eukaryotic large subunit ribosomal RNA". It matches the Rfam family "Eukaryotic large subunit ribosomal RNA", at positions 1 to 691 of the family's 3401-position model. Lineage: Eukaryota; Fungi; Ascomycota; Eurotiomycetes; Eurotiales; Aspergillaceae. The record is from Rfam by way of RNAcentral.
UGACCUCGGAUCAGGUAGGGAUACCCGCUGAACUUAAGCAUAUCAAUAAGCGGAGGAAAAGAAACCAACCGGGAUUGCCUCAGUAACGGCGAGUGAAGCGGCAAGAGCUCAAAUUUGAAAGCUGGCCCCUUCGGGGUCCGCGUUGUAAUUUGCAGAGGAUGCUUUGGGUGCGGCCCCCGUCUAAGUGCCCUGGAACGGGCCGUCAGAGAGGGUGAGAAUCCCGUCUUGGGCGGGGUGUCCGUGCCCGUGUAAAGCUCCUUCGACGAGUCGAGUUGUUUGGGAAUGCAGCUCUAAAUGGGUGGUAAAUUUCAUCUAAAGCUAAAUACUGGCCGGAGACCGAUAGCGCACAAGUAGAGUGAUCGAAAGAUGAAAAGCACUUUGAAAAGAGAGUUAAACAGCACGUGAAAUUGUUGAAAGGGAAGCGCUUGCGACCAGACUCGCCCUCGGGGUUCAGCCGGCACUCGUGCCGGUGUACUUCCCCGGGGGCGGGCCAGCGUCAGCUUGGGCGGCCGGUCAAAGGCCUCCGGAAUGUAGUGCCCCCCGGGGCACCUUAUAGCCGGAGGUGCAAUGCGGCCAGCCUGGGCUGAGGAACGCGCUUCGGCACGGACGCUGGCAUAAUGGUCGCAAACGACCCGUCUUGAAACACGGACCAAGGAGUCUAACAUCUACGCGAGU